AGAGUUUGAUCCUGGCUCAGGACGAACACUGGCGGCGUGCUUAAUACAUGCAAGUCGAACGAGGCUCAUCCGGUCGAAAGACCGGAGAAGGCUUAGUGGCGAACGGGUGAGUAACACGUGAGCAACCUGCCCCGAAGACCGGGAUAACAGUGGGAAACCGCUGCUAAUACCGGAUAUCCCCACCGAGCCUCCUGGCUUGGUGAGGAAAUGGAUUCCGCUUCGGGAGGGGCUCGCGGCCUAUCAGCUUGUUGGUGGGGUAACGGCCUACCAAGGCGUCGACGGGUAGCUGGUCUGAGAGGACGAUCAGCCACACUGGGACUGAGACACGGCCCAGACUCCUACGGGAGGCAGCAGUAGGGAAUCUUGCGCAAUGGGCGAAAGCCUGACGCAGCAACGCCGCGUGAGGGAUGAAGGCCUUCGGGUUGUAAACCUCUUUCAGCAGGGACGAUUGUGACGGUACCUGCAGAAGAAGCCCCGGCCAACUACGUGCCAGCAGCCGCGGUAAUACGUAGGGGGCGAGCGUUGUCCGGAAUCAUUGGGCGUAAAGAGCUCGUAGGCGGUUUGGUAAGUCGGGUGUGAAACCUCCAGGCUCAACCUGGUGAUGCCACUCGAUACUGCCCUGACUAGAGUCCGGUAGGGGUCCACGGAAUUCCUAGUGUAGCGGUGAAAUGCGCAGAUAUCAGGAGGAACACCGGUGGCGAAGGCGGUGGGCUGGGCCGGAACUGACGCUGAGGAGCGAAAGCGUGGGGAGCGAACAGGAUUAGAUACCCUGGUAGUCC
This 779-nucleotide ribosomal RNA is filed under the name uncultured bacterium. RNAcentral describes it as "bacterial SSU rRNA". It matches the Rfam family "Bacterial small subunit ribosomal RNA", at positions 8 to 796 of the family's 1533-position model. The record is from RNAcentral.